RNAcentral lists this ribosomal RNA (244 nucleotides) under uncultured bacterium. Its description in RNAcentral is "partial 16S ribosomal RNA". It matches the Rfam family "Bacterial small subunit ribosomal RNA", at positions 28 to 280 of the family's 1533-position model. The record is from RNAcentral.
GAUGAACGCUGGCGGCGUGCCUAACACAUGCAAGUCGAACGAUACCUUUCGGGGUAUAGUGGCGCACGGGUGAGGAACACGUAGCUCAUCGGCCUCAAAGUGCGGGAUAACACCGCGAAAGCGGCGCUAAUACCGCGUAAGCUCCCGAGUUGUAGAGACUUGAGAGAAAAGGCGCAAGUCGCUUUGAGACGAGGCUGCGGCCCAUCAGGUAGUUGGUAAGGUAACGGCUUACCAAGCCGACGAC